AUUGAACGCUGGCGGCAUGCCUUACACAUGCAAGUCGAACGGUAACAGGUCUUCGGAUGCUGACGGGUGGCGAACGGGUGAGUAAUACAUCGGAACGUGCCUAGUAGUGGGGGAUAACUACUCGAAAGAGUGGCUAAUACCGCAUGAGAUCUACGGACGAAAGCAGGGGAUCGCAAGACCUUGUGCUACUAGAGCGGCCGAUGGCAGAUUAGGUAGUUGGUGGGAUCAAAGCUUACCAAGCCGACGAUCUGUAGCUGGUAUGAGAGGACGAUCAGCCACACUGGGACUGAGACACGGCCCAGACUCCUACGGGAGGCAGCAGUGGGGAAUUUUGUACAAUGGGCGCAAGCCUGAUCCAGCAAUGCCGCGUGCAGGAUGAAGGCCUUCGGGUUGUAAACUGCUUUUGUACGGAACGAAAAGCCCUGGGUUAAUACCCUGGGGUCAUGACGGUACCGUAAGAAUAAGCACCGGCUAACUACGUGCCAGCCGCCGCCGUAA
RNAcentral lists this ribosomal RNA (498 nucleotides) under uncultured bacterium. RNAcentral describes it as "partial 16S ribosomal RNA". It matches the Rfam family "Bacterial small subunit ribosomal RNA", at positions 30 to 523 of the family's 1533-position model. The record is from RNAcentral.